Molecule: long non-coding RNA, 814 nt
Organism: Mytilus californianus (California mussel)
Lineage: Eukaryota; Metazoa; Mollusca; Bivalvia; Mytilida; Mytilidae
Exons: 3
Source: RefSeq, a predicted model, not a curated record
UUUAACGAUAAUGUUAAGUGUUGUUCAAAAAUAAUAUCGCUAACUUUUGUGUUAAACUCUCGCUAACUUUAAUCAUAUUUUUACCCAUGAUUAAAUACUAACGACUGCGUUAAACAUGGCUGGCUUAGCAUUAUACAAUGUUCCUCAACAAAGAAGACCGCGACAUUUUCGCAACAGGGAUGGCUUAUCUUUGGAUUUCACUGAUGAGGAGUUAAGGACACGAUAUCGAUUCAGCAGACGUAGUAUUUUGGUGCUCUCAGACCUUGUUAGGGAUGACUUACAGAGAGGGACACACAGAAACCAUGCAUUCACUGUGGAACAGCAAGUCAUGGUUACACUAAGAUUUUUGGCCAGUAGAAGUUUCCUACAAGUUGUUGGAGACACACUUGGUAUGUACACACAUGGAAAAGACACCUAACUGGGAAAGUGGCAUCUUACUUGGGGAAAGUGGAUAUCCAUGCCGCCCAUUCAUCAUGACGCCUUAUGCCCGUCCUGCAAAUGAAGACCAGACAAGGUUUAACAGGCAUCAUGCUACAACAAGAUGUGUAAUAGAAAGGACCUUUGGGAGAUGGAAAAGGCGUUUUCAUGUACUUCAUUCAGAGAUUCGUAUGAAACCUGAAAGGGUAUGUAGCAUUAUCAUGGCUUGUGCCAUUCUGCACAAUAUAGCUUUGUGGAUGAAUGAGCCUGAACUGCCAGAAGAUCAAGAAGAGGAGAUGCCUAAUAUAGAUGCAGUGUACAAUGGAGCCAAUGAUGGAAGAAGAAUGAGGGAUCACAUCACUCAGAUGUACUUCACACAUUAAAUUCGCACAUUAAA